This 396-nucleotide ribosomal RNA is filed under the name Triticum aestivum (bread wheat). RNAcentral's name for it is "partial small subunit ribosomal RNA". Lineage: Eukaryota; Viridiplantae; Streptophyta; Magnoliopsida; Poales; Poaceae. The record is from RNAcentral.
AUGAUGUCCACGCUCAGGAGGAAGCUCGGCGGAAUGCCCGUCAAACUAGUCGGCGUUGAUGUCGAGUACACGCACUACGUGAAGCCACAGCGGGCAGCAAUGCUCCAGCUAUGCGUAGAAAAAGAAUGCCUUGUCUACCACAUCUCUGCAGCUAAAGACAGGCCAAUGGAACUAGACAAAUUCCUCAUGAAUGGUGAGUACACCUUCGUCGGAUUCGCCAUUGAAGGAGACAAAAGCAAGCUGAAGCUAUCUGGUUUGGAGAUCAACUCUGAUAACUACAUUGAUAUUCAGGUGGAAUGGAGAGACCCAUACAAUAAAAAGAAGUUUGCCUCUUUGGCUGAUGUUGCCGGCAGGAUGAUAGACAUUCACUACAAUGACAUGAAGAAAAAAAAUUAA